Colletotrichum salicis is the source of this 90-nucleotide transfer RNA. It matches the Rfam family "tRNA". From Rfam's summary of the family: Transfer RNA (tRNA) molecules are approximately 80 nucleotides in length. The record is from Rfam. NCBI's taxonomy places the organism in Eukaryota, Fungi, Ascomycota, Sordariomycetes, Glomerellales, Glomerellaceae.
UCCCCGAUAGUCUAGUGGUGAGGAUAUCUGCUUGUCAUUUGAGAAAUCAACGAUUCGCAGGGGACCGGGGUUCAAUUCCCCGUCGAGGAG